This is a long non-coding RNA of Suricata suricatta (meerkat), 477 nucleotides long. RefSeq lists it as uncharacterized. The record is from RefSeq and is a predicted model, not a curated record. The transcript is spliced from 3 exons. NCBI's taxonomy places the organism in Eukaryota, Metazoa, Chordata, Mammalia, Carnivora, Herpestidae.
ACCAAGAGGCAGAUACCCAGCUGAGCCACCCAGGCUCCCCAUCGACGGAUUCGGAUUCCACAUGCGGUUCAGGCUGGCACUGUGUAGAAAUACCAGUCAAAUAUACUCUGGGAACCAUGUUUGGGUGGCAGGCCCCGGGGGUCCUGAGUGGGAGGCAUCGAAAGACCCAAGCUUGCCCCGGUGUCUGCGGCCCGAGUGCAGAUUCCAUCUGCUGUCAGAGCCCACGGCCUGACCUGGCCAUGGAUGCCACCCCCUCCCAGCCAGCCAGCAACUUUGCCACCUUGCCAGAUGUCCCAUGCCGCACUCCAGACACAAAAUGACAAUGAGACGCUCUCUCCCAUGAAGGCUGCCCAGGGUCCGUCUUCCCCAGCAUGGAUGCACUGCAUCCGAAGUGCAAACGGAUGGGACUUGGAGCCAGAAAAUCCUGGCUCUGGACCUUCAUGUCUCACCUGUAAAGGAGCUUUUUUUAUUUGCCAA